Molecule: ribosomal RNA, 253 nt
Filed under: uncultured bacterium
Lineage: Bacteria
Description: partial 16S ribosomal RNA
Rfam family: Bacterial small subunit ribosomal RNA
Source: RNAcentral
UACGGAGGGUGCGAGCGUUAAUCGGAAUUACUGGGCGUAAAGCGCACGCAGGCGGUUUGUUAAGCUAGAUGUGAAAGCCCCGGGCUCAACCUGGGAUGGUCAUUUAGAACUGGCAGACUAGAGUCUUGGAGAGGGGAGUGGAAUCCCGGGUGUAGCGGUGAAAUGCGUAGAUAUCUGGAGGAACAUCAGUGGCGAAGGCGACUCCCUGGCCAAAGACUGACGCUCAUGUGCGAAAGUGUGGGUAGCGAACAGG